GAUGAACGCUGGCGGCGUGCCUAAUACAUGCAAGUCGAGCGAACAGAUGAGAAGCUUGCUUCUCUGAUGUUAGCGGCGGACGGGUGAGUAACACGUGGGUAACCUACCUAUAAGACUGGGAUAACUCCGGGAAACCGGGGCUAAUACCGGAUAAUAUUUUGAACCGCAUGGUUCAAUAGUGAAAGACGGUUUCGGCUGUCACUUAUAGAUGGACCCGCGCCGUAUUAGCUAGUUGGUAAGGUAACGGCUUACCAAGGCGACGAUACGUAGCCGACCUGGGAGGGUGAUCGGCCACACUGGAACUGAGACACGGUCCAGACUCCUACGGGAGGCAGCAGUAGGGAAUCUUCCGCAAUGGGCGAAAGCCUGACGGAGCAACGCCGCGUGAGUGAUGAAGGUCUUCGGAUCGUAAAACUCUGUUGUUAGGGAAGAACAAACUUGUUAGUAACUGAACAAGUCUUGACGGUACCUAACCAGAAGGCCACGGCUAACUACGUGCCAGCAGCCGCGGUAA
RNAcentral lists this ribosomal RNA (514 nucleotides) under uncultured bacterium. RNAcentral's name for it is "partial 16S ribosomal RNA". It matches the Rfam family "Bacterial small subunit ribosomal RNA", at positions 28 to 523 of the family's 1533-position model. The record is from RNAcentral.